GAAAUAAUUUGAAAAUUUAUAGUGAAUUAAGUAUUGUGAAAGAAUUUUGAAAUAUUUUAAAUAAUAAAUUAUUUAAAAGUAAUUUUUGUUUGGUGUAUCUUGUGUAUCAGAGUUUAUUAAAAAAUAUUUUUAGAGUUUAAUAAUUCUCGAAUUUAAGAGAGAUAAUUAAUUAAAAAAGUUAUUGUGGCAUAAAUAUUUUUAAUAAUUAAUUGGAAAUGAAAUGUUAAUCGUUCUUAAAUAUAUCUAGUUUUUUUAGAAAAAAAUUUAAUUUUAAAUUUAUUUUUAAUAUUAAUUAAUUAAUUAAUUAAUAUAAUAUUUGAAUUUUAUAAUUUAAGGGAUAAUCUUUAAAUUAAAUAAAUAUAAUUAAGUUAUUUAUUUGUUUUUGAAAAUUUUAUAAUUUAUAUUGUUAAUAAAAUUUAAUUUAUUAUAAAUAAUUUCAUUUAAAAUAAAAUUUAAUAGUAAAAUUUAUUAAUUUAUAAAAAAAAAAAUUUUAAAUUAUUUAAAAUUAGUUAUAAUGAUAAAAUUAGUAUAUAAUGUUAAUUGUUUAAUAAAUUAAGGAUUAAAAUUUAAUUAAUUAAAAGGAAUUCGGCAAAAAUUUAUAUUCACUUGUUUAUCAAAAACAUGUCUUUUUGAAAAUAAUUUAAAGUCUAAUCUGCCCACUGAUUUUAAAUUAAAGGGCUGCAGUAUUUUGACUGUACAAAGGUAGCAUAAUCAUUAGUCAUUUAAUUGAUGACUUGUAUGAAAGAUUGGAUGAAAUAUAAUCUGUCUCUUGAUUAAAUUAUAGAAUUUAAUUUUUUAAUUAAAAAGUUAAAAUAAAUUAAAAAGACGAGAAGACCCUAUAGAGUUUUAUAAUUAUUUUAAUUUUAAUUAUUUAUAAAAUUAAAAAUUUAAAUUUAAGUAAUUAUUUUAUUGGGGUGAUGGAAAAAUAUAUUUAACUUUUUUUUUUUAUAUACAUAAAUAAGUGAGAAAAUGAUCCAAUUUUAUUGAUUAUAAGAAAAAAUUACCUUAGGGAUAACAGCGUAAUUUUUUUUUUUAGUUCAAAUAAAAAAAAGAGUUUGCGACCUCGAUGUUGGAUUAAGAUAAAAUUUAAAUGCAGAAGUUUAAAAUUUUGAUCUGUUCGAUCAUUAAAAUCUUACAUGAUCUGAGUUCAAACCGGUGUGAGCCAGGUUGGUUUCUAUCUUUUAAUAAUAUAAAUAUUUUAGUACGAAAGGAUUAAAUAUUUAAAUUAAAUUUUGAUUGUUUUUGAAUUUUAUUA
This 1255-nucleotide ribosomal RNA is filed under the name Dysgonia illibata. RNAcentral's name for it is "16S ribosomal RNA". Lineage: Eukaryota; Metazoa; Arthropoda; Insecta; Lepidoptera; Erebidae. The record is from RNAcentral.